UUUUUUCCUUUUUUUUUUGAUUGAUUUUUUUCCUUCUCUCUUUUUUUUUUUAAUGCCCCAGUUGGCUGUUCUGCUGAUUCUCGAGAUGCAGCUGAGUGAUCUUCUUUUCUCGCUCAAGAAGUCGGGAAAUACUGUCAGGAAUUCCUUCAACAACAUCUUCGUCCGCUUCGAAUAUAGGGAAUUCAAAAUUGGGAGAUGAC
RNAcentral lists this long non-coding RNA (200 nucleotides) under Lathyrus oleraceus (garden pea). RNAcentral describes it as "Pisum sativum (pea) long non-coding RNA (PSAT_LNC039043)". The record is from RNAcentral. Lineage: Eukaryota; Viridiplantae; Streptophyta; Magnoliopsida; Fabales; Fabaceae.